CCUACGGGAGGCAGCAGUGAGGAAUAUUGGUCAAUGGGCGCAAGCCUGAACCAGCCAAGUCGCGUGAGGGAUGACGGCCCUACGGAUUGUAAACCUCUUUUGUCGGGGAGCAAGGCCCGCCACGUGUGGCGGGAAGGAGAGUACCCGAAGAAAAAGCAUCGGCUAACUCCGUGCCAGCAGGCGCGGUAAUACGGAGGAUGCGAGCGUUAUCCGGAUUUAUUGGGUUUAAGGGGUGCGUAGGCGGAAGUUUAAGUCAGCGGGAAAAUGUCGGUGCGCAACGCCGGCCUGCCGUUGAAACUGGUCUUCUUGAGUGAGCGAGAAGUAUGCGGAAUGCGUGGUGUAGCGGUGAAAUGCAUAGAUAUCACGCAGAACUCCGAUUGCGAAGGCAGCAGACCGGCGCGCAACUGACGCUGAGGCACGAAAGCGUGGGGAUCGAACAGGAUUAGAUACCCCUGUAGUC
RNAcentral lists this ribosomal RNA (460 nucleotides) under uncultured bacterium. RNAcentral's name for it is "partial 16S ribosomal RNA". It matches the Rfam family "Bacterial small subunit ribosomal RNA", at positions 338 to 795 of the family's 1533-position model. The record is from RNAcentral.